CAGCCAGUACAUCCGCCCCUCACAUGGCCAGCUGAGGAAGCUGUGCACGCACACGGUCCACACCGUUUCCUCCAACCGGAGGGAACAGACAGGCCGGGAGACGUGCAGGCCGGCAGAGGCCAAGCACUGCUGGCCUCCUGAGAAGGUUUCACCUAAUGGUGGUCAACAAGCUGGAGCUGGGUGGCUCGAGGGGUGGAGCCACUACCAGGUCCUCUGAUUUCAAUGCAUUUGAAGUGUUGACUCCCUGGUCCCAAAGGAGAGUCUCCCCCCAUGAAGAGAUUAACGUCCCUAACUGGUAAGGAGGCAAUCAUCACCUCUGUUGUUUGAUCAGGGUGGCACAAAGUGGUGAAACUCCUAGUCAAUUCCAGCCUUGACACUCUCAUAUCAGACUCCCAUUACAGCUAAGCACACGCAGGGGUACAUGCAAGCAGUCCCAGUUCGGCUCUUCACUGUCAAGUAUGUAGGACACGUGUUGUGUCCCAGUUUUUGGGGGGUUUGUAUUUCUUGUUUGUUUUUUGGACGGAGGCCACUCUGGUCAAUGCAUAGCUUUCUGACCAGAGCCCUUCCAACAUGGCUGGUAGUCCACACAGACUUCAGUCUUUCAGUCACCUUCCACCUUCCCGGGGCACUUAUUAUACACAAGAGUCAGGGAACCGAAUUGAGGGGGGUUUCCUGCUGCAACCAGAGCCAGGCAGAUGCUAAGCAGGAUCUUGCAGAGUUGCCCUGGCUG
RNAcentral lists this long non-coding RNA (730 nucleotides) under Rattus norvegicus (Norway rat). Its description in RNAcentral is "long non-coding RNA NONRATT008690". Lineage: Eukaryota; Metazoa; Chordata; Mammalia; Rodentia; Muridae. The record is from RNAcentral.